This 720-nucleotide ribosomal RNA is filed under the name bacterium. RNAcentral's name for it is "bacterial SSU rRNA". It matches the Rfam family "Bacterial small subunit ribosomal RNA", at positions 69 to 781 of the family's 1533-position model. The record is from RNAcentral.
GUAGCACAGAGAGCUUGCUCUCGGGUGACGAGUGGCGGACGGGUGAGAAAUGUCUGGGAAACUGCCCGAUGGAGGGGGAUAACUACUGGAAACGGUAGCUAAUACCGCAUAACGUCGCAAGACCAAAGAGGGGGACCUUCGGGCCUCUUGCCAUCGGAUGUGCCCAGAUGGGAUUAGCUUGUAGGUGAGGUAACGGCUCACCUAGGCGACGAUCCCUAGCUGGUCUGAGAGGAUGACCAGCCACACUGGAACUGAGACACGGUCCAGACUCCUACGGGAGGCAGCAGUGGGGAAUAUUGCACAAUGGGCGCAAGCCUGAUGCAGCCAUGCCGCGUGUAUGAAGAAGGCCUUCGGGUUGUAAAGUACUUUCAGCGGGGAGGAAGGGAGUGAGGUUAAUAACCUCAUUCAUUGACGUUACCCGCAGAAGAAGCACCGGCUAACUCCGUGCCAGCAGCCGCGGUAAUACGGAGGGUGCAAGCGUUAAUCGGAAUUACUGGGCGUAAAGCGCACGCAGGCGGUCUGUCAAGUCGGAUGUGAAAUCCCCGGGCUCAACCUGGGAACUGCAUUCGAAACUGGCAGGCUGGAGUCUUGUAGAGGGGGGUAGAAUUCCAGGUGUAGCGGUGAAAUGCGUAGAGAUCUGGAGGAAUACCGGUGGCGAAGGCGGCCCCCUGGACAAAGACUGACGCUCAGUGCGAAAGCGUGGGGAGCAAACAGGAUUAG